This 2908-nucleotide ribosomal RNA is filed under the name Candidatus Magasanikbacteria bacterium RIFCSPLOWO2_02_FULL_47_16. RNAcentral describes it as "bacterial LSU rRNA". The stretch from base 1 to 2039 matches the Rfam family "Bacterial large subunit ribosomal RNA". Lineage: Bacteria; Candidatus Magasanikiibacteriota. The record is from RNAcentral.
AUGUAAUAAUCGGAGAUCGUGCACUGAAUUCAUAGGUGCAUGAAGAAGACCUGGUGAAGUGAAACAUCUCAGUAGCCAGAGGAAAAGAAGACAAUCAAAAGACCACUAAAUUCUUUGCACGAAUUUUUCCCGAUGUAAAUCGGGAUUGAUUCGUGAUAAAGAUUGGUGGUUGUGAUUCCCUUAGUAGUGGCGAGCGAACGGGGAAGAGCCUAAACCUAUAGUGUAUUGUAGCAGAUGCAGAUAAGUUUCGACUUAUUGAGAUCUGUUACUCAAAGGACAGGCCGUUGCACUAUAGGUGUUGUAGGGUACAACAUCGACUACCUGUUAUGUCGGUCUUUGUAUGAAUCUUGUAUAGUCGAAGAAGCCUGGAAAGGCACAUCAUAGAAGGUGAUAAUCCUGUAGACAAAAUACGUUUCAUACCAAGAGGUUGUAUCCCUGAGUAGGGCGGAACACGUGAAAUUCCGUCUGAAUCAGCCGCGACUAUGCGGUAAGGCUAAAUACAUUUCGUGAUCGAUAGUGAACAAGUACCAUGAGGGAAAGGUGAAAAGCAGCCCGGUGAGGGCGAUGAAAUAGUAUCUGAAACCGUAUGCUUACAAUGAGCUGGAGCCCGGCCCCGCAAGGGGUUUAGGGUGACAGUGUUCCUAUUGAAGAAUGAGCCUGCGAGUAUGCUGUAUGUUGCAAGCUUAACUCCGUCUCGGAGGUAGGCGUAGGGAAACCGAGUCUUAACGGGCGUUUAAGUAGCAUACACAUAACCCGAAACCGGGUGAGCAAUCCAUGACCAGGUUGAACCCCGACGAAAGUCGGGGGGAGGACCGAACCCACGCGCUGUGCAACACGCGGGGAUGAGUUGUGGAUAGCGGAGAAAUUCUAAUCGAACUCGGUAAUAGCUGGUUCUCCUCGAAAUAGCUUUAGGGCUAGCUGUAUAUGUUCCCUCUGGGGGUAGAGCACUGGAUGAGGUCGAGGUCCUUCGGGAUACUCACUUCAAUCAAACUCCGAAUACCAGAGAUUAAUAAUAUGCAAGUCAGACAGUGGGGGCUAAGCUUCAUUGUCAAAAGGGAAACAGCCCAGAUCGCAAACUAAGGUCCCAAAGUCAUCACUAAGUGUAAAAGGUGGUGUUAAUUCUCAUACAACCAGGAGGUUGGCUUAGAAGCAGCCAUCCUUUAAAGAUAGCGUAAUAGCUCACUGGUCAAGAGUUUUCGCGCCGAAAAUGUACCGGGGCUAAGUGAUGCACCGAAGUUGCGAACCCCGCCGUAUGGCGGGGUGGUAGAGGAGCAUUCUUAUCGCAGUGAAGUCGGACUCGCGAGAGCCGGUGGAGCGAUGAGAAGAGAGAAUGCAGGCACAAGUAGCAAGAAUCCGGAUGAAAGUUCCGGACGCCGAAAACCUAAGGUUUCCAGGGCAACGUGAAUCGUCCCUGGGUUAGUCGGUCCUAAGGGGAGUCCGUCAUCUGGCGGGGUACCCGAUGGAAAAGCGGGCUAAUAUUCCCGCACUUGGUAUCGUUUGUUAUACAAUCCGUAUUUCAAAGGCAAGAGCGUUGUAUGGCUACACGUUUCGCAAGAUAGAGACUGCGUCUUCGGAUAAUGUCAAUUUUUGUUGGAGAAGUACCAAGAAAAGUUUUAUAACGUUCGGCGAUAUCAAACCGUACCGGAAACCGACACAGGUGGGUAGGUCGAGAAGACUAAGGCGCACGAGAGAAACAUGGUUAAGGAACUCGGCAAAACAGCGGCCGUAACUUCGGGAUAAGGCCUCCCCGAUGUCGUCGCAAGACGACUCAUCGGGGCGCAGCGAAAGACUCCAUGCAACUGUUUACCAAAAACACAGCUCCCUGCGAAAGCGUAAGCUGAAGUAUAGGGGGCGAUGCCUGGCCAGUGUCAGAACGUUAAGGGGAGAGGUUACCCGGCCCGCAAGGGCCAGGGGAAGCUUUGAACUGAAGCGCUGAUGAACGCCGGCGGUAACUAUAACCGUCCUAAGGUUGGAUGCACUACCUACAUAUUAGGUAGCGUAUCCAUGGACUGGGACGGUUAUUGAAGAGAUUAUGGAGUAGCAGAGUUCCAAAAAAAGCUGCCUUAAUUUACAGUAAUGUAAAUAAAGUCCAAUCAUGGCUAUAUGCUGGGAAUUCAAUGACAGUGAAUAAUCAGCAGGGAAGUCCGUCAUUUGGCGGAUCCCUCAGAGACCACACGCCGUGCUCCCGAUGUAUCGGGAUGAAGAUAUGGUCCUUCGCAAAAGGAAGCGAAAAGCGAAAUUCCUUGUCGGGUGAACACGUUUCUGUGCGGAAACUAUAAACUCGCCCGAAAUCAUGGUAACAUGAUAAUAAGCAUACCGGCUCAUAACGGUGAAGCCCUCCUCCCGGUUUAAUCGGGACGGGUAAUACCGUGGGAAGUCUCCCUCCUUAAAAAUAAGGAUUGGAGACCCCGUAACGACUGACCCGAAAGGGGAGGACCGAUGUCAAUCGGUCAACACGCCGGCUCUUAUUUUCAAGAGCACUCUAUGGAGGUAGGAUCCUAUAUAACAGGAUUUGUGGAUGGAGAAGGAAGUUUCCUUGUUUCAUUUUCAAGACGUUCAGCUAUGGUAUGUGGUAUUGAAGUUCGACCUUCAUUUACCGUAAGUCAGCAUGAACGCAGUAAAGAUAUUUUGAGUAUUCUGCAAAAUUUUUUUGGGUGUGGUUCUGUUCGUUUUAAUAGACGAGAUAGAACUUGGAAAUAUGAAGUAAGAAGUUUGGAUAAUCUUAUAAAAAGAAUUAUUCCACAUUUUACGGCAUAUCCACUCCAGACAUCCAAACGCAGUGAUUUUGAACAGUUUACUCAAGUCUGUCUUUGGAUGGAACAAAAGAAACAUCUUCGACCAGAGGGGCUAAAACAAAUUAUCAGGAGCGCGUAUAGAAUGAAUAAUUUUGGCGCUCGUCGUUAUGUAA